GAUGGGAUCACUUUUGUAUGAAAGCUUUGCGCUUUGCACACUAUCGUAAUAUAGAAUUACGUAUUAAGCACACAACCGUCACAACUUCACUAUUAAUCGAAAAUUAAAGCAAAAAUCGUCUACAUCUUCCUAACAGUAGGAUUGAUUAUAAAGUACCAUUCAAGUACUGGAUUGCCAGCUAUGAUAAAAAGUAGCACAAUAAAUAUUUUCAGUUCAUAAUAU
This is a long non-coding RNA of Maniola jurtina (meadow brown), 222 nucleotides long. RefSeq lists it as uncharacterized. The record is from RefSeq and is a predicted model, not a curated record. The transcript has 3 exons. NCBI's taxonomy places the organism in Eukaryota, Metazoa, Arthropoda, Insecta, Lepidoptera, Nymphalidae.